GUUUGAGGCAUUAUGGGAAGGUUAAGGAUCCAAGUGUGGAGAAUUUGUUGCCUGAUUUUGAUUUUGAUCAUACUGUUGGGAGGAGGUUGAUGUCGAGUAGUGGAGCGAGGACGGUUGUUUUGAUGGUGGUUGAUGCAUCUGAUUUCGAUGGAUCUUUUCCUAGGAAAGUAGCUCAGUUAGUUUCUAGGACAAUUGAAGAGAAC
This 203-nucleotide unclassified non-coding RNA is filed under the name Hevea brasiliensis (rubber tree). The record is from RNAcentral. Lineage: Eukaryota; Viridiplantae; Streptophyta; Magnoliopsida; Malpighiales; Euphorbiaceae.